GACGAACGCUGGCGGCGUGCUUAACACAUGCAAGUCGAACGGUGAAGCCCUUCGGGGUGUCUCAGUGGCGAACGGGUGAGUAACACGUGAGCAACCUGCCCCUGUCCCUGGGACACCCACUGGAAACGGUGGCUAAUACCGGAUACGACCCGCCUCGGCUUCGCCUGUGGGUGGAAUGGUGUUCGGCUGGGGAUGGGCUCGCGGCCUAUCAACCUGUUGGUGAGUUGAGGGCUCACCAAGGAGACGACGGGCAGCCGGCCUGAGGGGGACCGGCCACACUGGGACUGAGACACGGCCCAGACUCCAACGGGAGGCAGCAGUGGGGAAUAUUGCACAAUGGGCGAAAGCCUGAUGCAGCGACGCCGCGUGAGGGAUGACGGCCUUCGGGUUGUAAACCUCUGUCAGCGCCGAAGAAGCGAAAGUGACGGUAGGAGCAGAAGAAGCACCGGCUAACUACGUG
This 460-nucleotide ribosomal RNA is filed under the name uncultured bacterium. Its description in RNAcentral is "partial 16S ribosomal RNA". It matches the Rfam family "Bacterial small subunit ribosomal RNA", at positions 28 to 507 of the family's 1533-position model. The record is from RNAcentral.